This 800-nucleotide long non-coding RNA is filed under the name Danio rerio (zebrafish). RNAcentral's name for it is "lncRNA (ENSDARG00000117741.1)". Lineage: Eukaryota; Metazoa; Chordata; Actinopteri; Cypriniformes; Danionidae. The record is from RNAcentral.
GCAAAAGAUAUCAUUUUAUCAAACAGAAAAUUAUAGAAGUUGCUGUUAGCGGAUUAUCUUUCCAGAUAUUUUGCAUAGGAGCAGAAUAAAAUGAGUUCUCCCCAGUCACAGAUCCAACAUUCAUCUCAGAAGAUCUCCAAGCAUCUACUCAAGUUAGGACAGACAUCAUGGGUUUGACUGUACCAGUGAAGAUCCUUCUUCUGACCUGCCUGGUGUAUUUUGUGAUCUCUUCAGUAGAUGGCAGAAUCUUUAGAGGCUCUAAGAAUCAGUCCAAGAAGAAAGGCAGUGGUUUAAAAGGGAGCAAGAAGAUUCCACAGAAUGUUCCACAGAAUGCUCCGGGUAAGGUUCCACAGAAUGUUCAGCCUUCAGCAAAUCAGGCACCAGCAACAGCAGCACCAGCAGCAGCAGCAGCAGAACCAGCACCAGCAGAACCAGCACCAGCAGAAGCAGCGCCAGCAGAAGCAGCACCAGCAGAUGCGUGAUUGACAGCUGCUUUACUCAAAGUUUCAUUUAGCUGAAGAGUUUCAUGCUUUAAUUGCAGUAAAGAUUAAAAAUGGCAAAUAGAGUUGACAGUUUGUGAAAUGCAUUAAUUGUUGUUCUUAAUUCUACAACUUGCACUCGGAGGUUGAUUAUUAAUGGUAAAGAGUUUGCAUGUUCUGUUUAAGCAUAAUUAAUUUCACUAUCCUGUGUAUUAAAAACAAAAUGUGACUAAUACAAUUUUAGUCUGCUAAGCCUCUUUUUGGUAAUUGGAUCCUAUAAUAUUUUCCAUUCUAAAAAUAAAUAAAUAAAAUAAUAAUGAC